Molecule: ribosomal RNA, 159 nt
Filed under: Rhizopogon roseolus
Lineage: Eukaryota; Fungi; Basidiomycota; Agaricomycetes; Boletales; Rhizopogonaceae
Description: 5.8S ribosomal RNA
Rfam family: 5.8S ribosomal RNA
About the family: 5.8S ribosomal RNA (5.8S rRNA) is a component of the large subunit of the eukaryotic ribosome.
Source: RNAcentral
AACUUUCAGCAAUGGAUCUCUUGGCUCUCGCAUCGAUGAAGAACGCAGCGAAAAGCGAUAUGUAAUGUGAAUUGCAGAUCUACAGUGAAUCAUCGAAUCUUUGAACGCACCUUGCGCUCCUCGGUGUUCCGAGGAGCAUGCCUGUUUGAGUGUCAGUAA